UGAAAAGAUUGCACAGGUUGUAAACUGAUUCAGUAUCAUCUUCCUAGGAAUUUAUUUUUAAGAGUAGCAUUGAUUAAACUCAACUGAUUUGCAGAAGUGUUUCAUUAGAAUCUUGGUUCCAUAAUAAUUGCAGUUUCCUUUGAUAUCGGACUCUCAUUUAUCAUUAGGUUCAGUGUCCCAGCCUACAUAAAUGCCACCCUUCAACAACCAGAAAUACUUUCCAGGAAUCUAUCAUGGCUCAAUAUGUCAGUUAAAAAAUUCUCCUCAUGUAGGAGUUAAAUGAUGUUUUAAAGCAAAACUGACAGAAUAACAUCAAGAGAAAGAAAAAAAAUCUUUCUUGUAAAACCAAAAGAAUCACCUCCAAUUCUACUUGAUCUACACAUUUUGGAGAUUAUUCUGGUACUUCUUCUUUUUUUUUCUUUUGCACUUGCAAGGCAGCUGGUGGAACCACUGAGCUAAAUCCCUGGCCCUCUCCCGGUUCUUCUUUAUACUACACGCUAACUAUGCAUUUUGGAGACAGUUGCAAAGUGAAAGGAAGAGGACUCUUCGGUAACAUUGCCGAAUCUCUAGAAGUGGGACAGCACCCUUCAAGCAAGCAC
This 599-nucleotide long non-coding RNA is filed under the name Fukomys damarensis (Damara mole-rat). Its description in RNAcentral is "lncRNA (ENSFDAG00000029505.1)". The record is from RNAcentral. Lineage: Eukaryota; Metazoa; Chordata; Mammalia; Rodentia; Bathyergidae.